CGCACUCAGAAGUGAGCUGGUGAAGCUGAAUGUGUGUAAGGCUUCAUGGGAAUCCGGUGAAAAACCGGAACUGGCGCGCAGCGGUGAGUGGGGACCGCCCCAUCCAAAGGCCACUGGCUUUUUACAAGCUGGGAAGGCGUUGGGGGAUAAACGGGAUGAUCCACAAGUCCGAAGACCGACCAGCUCUGACCAUCUUGU
RNAcentral lists this non-coding RNA (198 nucleotides) under Corynebacterium mustelae. Lineage: Bacteria; Bacillati; Actinomycetota; Actinomycetes; Mycobacteriales; Corynebacteriaceae. The record is from RNAcentral.